AAUAAGAAAAUGAUAGAUGAGAUUUUUUCCUCCUGAUUUUCAACUUUUUCCUCUUGACAAAAUUCAAAUCUUACUAAAAAUGCUAAAAUUCAAGAAUAAAAAUCUGAUUUGUCAUCCUCCUAUU
RNAcentral lists this microRNA precursor (124 nucleotides) under Gossypium arboreum. RNAcentral's name for it is "MIR7504 microRNA precursor family". It matches the Rfam family "MIR7504 microRNA precursor family". Lineage: Eukaryota; Viridiplantae; Streptophyta; Magnoliopsida; Malvales; Malvaceae. The record is from Rfam by way of RNAcentral.